This 492-nucleotide ribosomal RNA is filed under the name uncultured bacterium. RNAcentral's name for it is "partial 16S ribosomal RNA". It matches the Rfam family "Bacterial small subunit ribosomal RNA", at positions 29 to 507 of the family's 1533-position model. The record is from RNAcentral.
AGUGAACGCUGGCGGUAGGCCUAACACAUGCAAGUCGAACGGCAGCACAGUAAGAGCUUGCUCUUACGGGUGGCGAGUGGCGGACGGGUGAGGAAUACAUCGGAAUCUACUUUUUCGUGGGGGAUAACGUAGGGAAACUUACGCUAAUACCGCAUACGACCUACGGGUGAAAGCAGGGGAUCUUCAGACCUUGCGCGAUUGAAUGAGCCGAUGUCGGAUUAGCUAGUUGGCGGGGUAAAGGCCCACCAAGGCGACGAUCCGUAGCUGGUCUGAGAGGAUGAUCAGCCACACUGGAACUGAGACACGGUCCAGGCUCCUACGGGAGGCAGCAGUGGGGAAUAUUGGACAAUGGGCGCAAGCCUGAUCCAGCCAUACCGCGUGGGUGAAGAAGGCCUUCGGGUUGUAAAGCCCUUUUGUUGGGAAAGAAAAGCAGCAGGUUAAUACCCCGCUGUUCUGACGGUACCCAAAGAAUAAGCACCGGCUAACUUCGUG